RNAcentral lists this ribosomal RNA (369 nucleotides) under uncultured bacterium. Its description in RNAcentral is "bacterial SSU rRNA". It matches the Rfam family "Bacterial small subunit ribosomal RNA", at positions 29 to 394 of the family's 1533-position model. The record is from RNAcentral.
AGUGAACGCUGGCGGCAGGCCUAAUACAUGCAAGUCGAACGGCAGCACAGUGGAGCUUGCUCCAUGGUGGCGAGUGGCGGACGGGUGAGGAAUACAUGGGAAUCUGCCCAGUCGUGGGGAUAACGUAUGGAAACGUACGCUAAUACCGCAUGCGCCCUUCGGGGGAAAGUCGGGGGAACCCGCAAAGGCCUGACGCGAUUGGAUGAGCCCAUGUUCGAUUAGCUAGUUGGCGGGUAACGGCCACCAAGGCGACGAUCGAUAGCUGGUCUGAGAGGAUGAUCAGCCACACUGGAACUGAGACACGGUCCAGACUCCUACGGGAGGCAGCAGUAGGGAUAUUGGACAAUGGGCGCAAGCCUGAUCCAGCCA